UGGAGAGUUUUUCUAACAUCCUCGACACCUCGUCUCUUCUUCUGUGUCCCAAAUUCCAAUGUUUACCUCCCUCUCUCUCUCUCUCUCUCUCUCUCUCUCUCUCUCUGCCUCCUUCUUCAGUUACAUUUCAAACAAUCAUUUUCGUACGUAGCCUCCGUGAUGUGUGCAGCAUCCGCCUGUCGCCAUGACGACCAGCUGACAAGCAGCAGCUCUGACAGGGGAAAAAACAAAACAAAACAAAAAAUAAAUAAAAACAGCGCUCUGGCUUUUCCUGAUGCGACGGACGACACUGUGUCCCGACCUGCCUUCAUCAUCAUCUGUGGGAGCCAAUCGUCACCUUCAUACCUCUGUGUGUGUGUGUGUGUGUGUGUGUGUGUGUGUGUGUGAGAUUUCACCGAUAUGCCACACAGUUGUCUUGAAUGUGAAUGUCAGUGGCAGCUUGUCUGUUCUCUUCUCUUCACCUUGUCACCACACCUUACCUUCCAUCCCACCUUCUCUCUCUCUCUCUCUCUCUCUCUCUUUGUCCGUGUGUCACAUCCUCUCUCGUCCUACAUCCUUUCUGCGGUUCUGCCCUCUAUUUCACCUCUGUCUGUGAGGGCUUCCAGGGAAUAACGCUGCACAUCAUCUUUUCCUCGACAGCUUCAGUUUCACAGACGCCGACGGAUCGAUACAUGAAUUUAUUGACCAAUUAAUCCAUCGACGAGGCCCGAGACGUUGUUUAUUCACACAGUAACAGCCGCUGCUCGACGUGAAGGACGGAGAAGACGACGUAGACGGACAGAAGCCUCUUCGAGACGGCAGGGUUGUGUUGUUACUCCACCGGGUCAGAGCACAACACUCAUGAAUCAGGUGGAGUUUGAUGUAACGAGCCGCUUCAGAUUCUGAUGAUAUCUGCAUUCAAGUCGCCAGCGAGGGAGUGUCAGUGUUAUCGGGCGCUCGCAUCGAUCCGACCCUCCACCGGACCGCAGACACAGAACCAGUCGAUGUGCUCGCUCUCUCUUUUUGAAAACUGUAUCGAUGCUUCUUCUGUUGGUGAAAGUUUCGGGGGGGAUGAAAGCAGCACGGAGGCUCGUACAGUCUCGAUGCUCAAUUCAUAGAGUUUCGUCCUCUCUGGAUGGAUGAACUGUGUUUCAGCAGCGUGUCCGUGAUCAAUAAAA
Acanthopagrus latus (yellowfin seabream) is the source of this 1157-nucleotide long non-coding RNA. RefSeq lists it as uncharacterized. The record is from RefSeq and is a predicted model, not a curated record. The transcript has 2 exons. NCBI's taxonomy places the organism in Eukaryota, Metazoa, Chordata, Actinopteri, Spariformes, Sparidae.